GAUGAACGCUAGCGGCAGGCUUAAUACAUGCAAGUCGAGGGGCAGCAGGACUGUAGCAAUACAGUUGCUGGCGACCGGCACACGGGUGCGGAACACGUACGCAACCUACCCAAAACUGGGGGAUAGCCCGGGGAAACCCGGAUUAAUACCUCGUAACCUUUUUAAGUGGCAUCACUUGAUAAGUAUAGCUCCGGCGGUUUUGGAUGGGCGUGCGCCUGAUUAGGUAGUUGGUGCGGGUAACGGCCCACCAAGCCUGCGAUCAGUAACUGGUGUGAGAGCACGACCAGUCACACGGGCACUGGGACACGGGCCCGACUCCUACGGGAGGCAGCAGUAAGGAAUAUUGGUCAAUGGACGCAAGUCUGAACCAGCCAUGCCGCGUGAAGGAUGAAGGUCCUCUGGAUUGUAAACUUCUUUUAUGGGGGACGAAACCCGGAUAUUCUUAUCCGAUUGACGGUACCUCAGGAAUAAGCACCGGCUAACUCCGUG
Molecule: ribosomal RNA, 489 nt
Filed under: uncultured bacterium
Lineage: Bacteria
Description: partial 16S ribosomal RNA
Rfam family: Bacterial small subunit ribosomal RNA
Source: RNAcentral